UACGAAGGGGGCUAGCGUUGCUCGGAAUUACUGGGCGUAAAGCGCACGUAGGCGGCUUUCUAAGUCGGGGGUGAAAUCCUGGAGCUCAACUCCAGAACUGCCUUCGAUACUGGAAAGCUCGAGUCCGGGAGAGGUGAGUGGAACUGCGAGUGUAGAGGUGAAAUUCGUAGAUAUUCGCAAGAACACCAGUGGCGAAGGCGGCUCACUGGCCCGGUACUGACGCUGAGGUGCGAAAGCGUGGGAGCAAACAGG
This 252-nucleotide ribosomal RNA is filed under the name uncultured bacterium. RNAcentral's name for it is "partial 16S ribosomal RNA". It matches the Rfam family "Bacterial small subunit ribosomal RNA", at positions 524 to 776 of the family's 1533-position model. The record is from RNAcentral.